Molecule: ribosomal RNA, 465 nt
Filed under: Vreelandella stevensii
Lineage: Bacteria; Pseudomonadati; Pseudomonadota; Gammaproteobacteria; Oceanospirillales; Halomonadaceae
Description: partial 16S ribosomal RNA
Rfam family: Bacterial small subunit ribosomal RNA
Source: RNAcentral
CCUACGGGAGGCAGCAGUGGGGAAUAUUGGACAAUGGGGGGAACCCUGAUCCAGCCAUGCCGCGUGUGUGAAGAAGGCCCUCGGGUUGUAAAGCACUUUCAGUGAGGAAGAACGCCUGGUGGUUAAUACCCAUCAGGAAAGACAUCACUCACAGAAGAAGCACCGGCUAACUCCGUGCCAGCAGCCGCGGUAAUACGGAGGGUGCGAGCGUUAAUCGGAAUUACUGGGCGUAAAGCGCGCGUAGGUGGCUUGAUAAGCCGGUUGUGAAAGCCCCGGGCUCAACCUGGGAGCGGCAUCCGGAACUGUCAAGCUAGAGUGCAGGAGAGGAAGGUAGAAUUCCCGGUGUAGCGGUGAAAUGCGUAGAGAUCGGGAGGAAUACCAGUGGCGAAGGCGGCCUUCUGGACUGACACUGACACUGAGGUGCGAAAGCGUGGGUAGCAAACAGGAUUAGAUACCCCGGUAGUC